Molecule: ribosomal RNA, 588 nt
Filed under: uncultured bacterium
Lineage: Bacteria
Description: bacterial SSU rRNA
Rfam family: Bacterial small subunit ribosomal RNA (bases 1-515)
Source: RNAcentral
CCUACGGGAGGCAGCAGUGGGGAAUCUUGCGCAAUGGGCGAAAGCCUGACGCAGCCAUGCCGCGUGUAUGAUGAAGGUCUUAGGAUUGUAAAAUACUUUCACCGGUGAAGAUAAUGACUGUAGCCGGAGAAGAAGCCCCGGCUAACUUCGUGCCAGCAGCCGCGGUAAUACGAAGGGGGCUAGCGUUGCUCGGAAUUACUGGGCGUAAAGGGAGCGUAGGCGGACAUUUAAGUCAGAGGUGAAAUCCCGGAGCUUAACUUCGGAACUGCCUUUGAUACUGGGUGUCUUGAGUGUGAGAGAGGUAUGUGGAACUCCGAGUGUAGAGGUGAAAUUCGUAGAUAUUCGGAAGAACACCAGUGGCGAAGGCGGCAUACUGGCUCAUUACUGACGCUGAGGCUCGAAAGCGUGGGGAGCAAACAGGAUUAGAUACCCUGGUAGUCCACGCCGUAAACGAUGAUUGCUAGUUGUCGGGAAGCUUGCUUCUCGGUGACGCNGCUACGCAUAAGACAUCCGCCGUGGGAGGUACGGUCGCAGAUAACUACAAGAAGUAGACGCGNGAGACGUGCCGAGGCGACGACGAGGGAGAGG